RNAcentral lists this long non-coding RNA (1590 nucleotides) under Anser brachyrhynchus (Pink-footed goose). RNAcentral's name for it is "lncRNA (ENSABRG00000004211.1)". The record is from RNAcentral. Lineage: Eukaryota; Metazoa; Chordata; Aves; Anseriformes; Anatidae.
AUGCCCUUAUCGCCAAGACCUUGGCAGCGGCCGCGGGCGGCUCCGCUCUGCCUCGCUCUGUCCUCGGGGAGAAAACAGAGGGGGGCAGCACCCAGGGGUGGGCUCCGCAGGGACCCCCUCCCACUGCAACUCCCCAAGGGGGUGAAGAAUCCCUGGGGACGUGGGGAUGGGGUCCCCAGCGAAGGGCUGGGGGGGGGGGGGGUCCAGGCCCCGUCUUGCUUUAGGGGUGGGGGUCUGCACGGAGCCCCCCCGCCCACGCUGCCCCCUCCCAGAGGCUCGUGGGCGCUUUGCUCCCGCUCAGAUCGGCUUUGGGGGCACCCGUGGGCGCUGCCGAGCCCUGCCCCAUCCUGCGGGGCCUGGCUCUGGCUCUGGCAGUGGCCUCAGCACACAGCCGGGUGUCUGCCUGUCCGUCCGUCCGUCUGUCCGCCCCGUCCUUUUCUCCGGUCUGGACGUCUGUCCAUCCACGUGUCCGUCCGUCCCUGGGUCCAUCUGUCCGUCCGUCCGUCUGUCCGCCCCGUCCUUUUCUCCGGUCUGGACGUCUGUCCAUCCACGUGUCCGUCCGUCCCUGGGUCCAUCUGUCCGUCCGUCCGUCUGUCCGGGCGUCUCCGUGUGUCUGUGCACGCCCACGCUCACGUGCAGCGGCGUGUGCCCGGGUUUCCACGUGUGCAUGCCCGCGCCCCGAGGGUCUGCGCCCACGCCCGGGGGUGCAUCUGUGUCUGCGCCCCCCCAGCGCCCGCCUCUGUGGCCGUGCGUCCAUCUGUGCGUCCGUGUGUCCGUCUGUGUGGCCGUGCCAAGCCCGCGUGCACCCAUGCCGAUGGGCCGAGGUCGGGGCGCCCCAGCAGGACGGGGAGCGGGGGGGGUUAUUGGGGUGCAGCGCAACGGCAGCCCCGAUGCGCGCACGUUGGCACCGCCGCGGUGCGGGGGGACGGGGACGGAGCCGCGGGGAGGGGACACGGGGGCUUCGCAGCGGGGUCCCCCCUAGAAAAACCUCUUCUUGUGGGGGUCGGCGAAGGAGAUGGAGCCGCGCGGGGCGGUGAAGAGCAGCCCCAGCGGGAUGUCCAUGCCGGGCAGCGCGCCGGCGCCUUCGCCCUGCGGCCUCUCCUCCGGCAGCGCCCCGUCCUCCUCCGGCCACUCCACCUCCAGCACGCCGCCCUCGCCCAUCACCGCCUUCUCCUCCUCCGGCUUGGGCCCGAACGCCCAAUCUGCGGGGACAAAGACGGGGCCGUGGGCAGCGCGUCCCCGCCGCGGUGUCCCCCGGGGGGGUCCCCAGCCCCGGAGCAAUGCAGCAAAAACCUGAACUGCGCGCAACAGGCCUCGUUCUGCAUUUAUUCGGGGAGAAAAAUCCGCCCCUUUGGCCUGCGGGGUCCUGCCCCGUGCCCCAGCAUCCCCAGCGCCCCGUUUCCCCUCUGGGCUGGUUGGGGACCCCCUCGCCCCCACCCAGCCCCACGAGGACCCCCGCGGCUCAGCCCCGUGUGUCCCCCCCCCUCCCCAAAGGACUCACCGGCGAAGUCGUGCACCAGGUCCUUGAUGAGGUGGCCCACGAUGGCGUACGCCACCACCAGCACCAGGCUGGCCGCCAUCACCAGGUAG